Molecule: signal recognition particle RNA, 99 nt
Filed under: Hyphomonas sp.
Lineage: Bacteria; Pseudomonadati; Pseudomonadota; Alphaproteobacteria; Hyphomonadales; Hyphomonadaceae
Also listed under: 2 other names
Description: signal recognition particle sRNA small type
Rfam family: Bacterial small signal recognition particle RNA (bases 7-92)
About the family: The signal recognition particle (SRP) is a universally conserved ribonucleoprotein involved in the co-translational targeting of proteins to membranes. Archaeal SRP consists of a 7S RNA and homologues of the eukaryotic SRP19 and SRP54 proteins.
Source: RNAcentral
GGAGGCUGGCGGUGGACGAGCUCCUCGCCAACCGGGUCAGGUCGGGAACGAAGCAGCCCUAACGAGUUUUAUGGUUCGGGUCGCUGUCCAGUCUCCACU